GACGAACGCUGGCGGCGUGCUUAACACAUGCAAGUCGAACGAAGAGCGAUGGAAGCUUGCUUCUAUCAAUCUUAGUGGCGAACGGGUGAGUAACGCGUAAUCAACCUGCCCUUCAGAGGGGGACAACAGUUGGAAACGACUGCUAAUACCGCAUACGAUCUAAUCUCGGCAUCGAGGAUAGAUGAAAGGUGGCCUCUACAUGUAAGCUAUCACUGAAGGAGGGGAUUGCGUCUGAUUAGCUAGUUGGAGGGGUAACGGCCCACCAAGGCGAGGAUCAGUAGCCGGUCUGAGAGGAUGAACGGCCACAUUGGGACUGAGACACGGCCCAGACUCCUACGGGAGGCAGCAGUGGGGAAUCUUCCGCAAUGGACGAAAGUCUGACGAAGCAACGCCGCGUGAGUGAUGACGGCCUUCGGGUUGUAAAGCUCUGUUAAUCGGGACGAAAGGCCUUCUUGCGAAUAGGGAGAAGGAUUGACGGUACCGGAAGAGAAAGCCACGGCUAACUACGUG
This 510-nucleotide ribosomal RNA is filed under the name uncultured bacterium. RNAcentral's name for it is "partial 16S ribosomal RNA". It matches the Rfam family "Bacterial small subunit ribosomal RNA", at positions 28 to 507 of the family's 1533-position model. The record is from RNAcentral.